RNAcentral lists this unclassified non-coding RNA (177 nucleotides) under uncultured Ascomycota. Its description in RNAcentral is "sequence contains ITS1". Lineage: Eukaryota; Fungi; Ascomycota. The record is from RNAcentral.
CCGAGUUAGGGUCCUCCAGGCCCGACCUCCAACCCUUUGUCUACACGACCCUGUUGCCUCGGCGGGCCGGUCUCACGACCGCCGGGGGCGUCUGCGCCCCUGGAGAGCUGCCCGCCGGUAGGCCUCACAUCUAAUCCUAGACGAACCGUGUGUCUAAAGUCACAAGUUAAAUAAGCA